This 997-nucleotide long non-coding RNA is filed under the name Gallus gallus (chicken). RNAcentral's name for it is "lncRNA (ENSGALG00010017216.1)". Lineage: Eukaryota; Metazoa; Chordata; Aves; Galliformes; Phasianidae. The record is from RNAcentral.
AAGGACCCGGUCAGCCCUGGGAGCACAGGUGAAGGCAAUUGAGCUCUGCGACCAGAGGGGGUGGAGCCUGGCUGCACCUCUCUUAGACCUCACUUAAGGGCUGACUGCCACUGGGGAAGGAUCUCCUCGUGGAGAUCUCUCUUUGGUGAAGCUUUUUCCUGCAAACCUGGAAUCUUCUGAUAUGGUGAUCUGUUCAAUUGCUUCGCUCCCCCAAGCAGCGGCCAAUGAAGCACUUUAUGAUUUAAGGCUUGUUAACCAGUACCUUGAAAUUCUGCAAGGCGAGUUUGCAUAGCAUAUCCUUGAAAUUACACUUGGAAGCUAUUACUUGGACAGUUACUUUAGAGGCAUUCUUGGAGGUCAUUACAGUUUUUGUCAAGAACAGUUUAAUUCUCUGCCAUUUUCCACUUUUGUUAUUAUUGUGGACCAUCGUGGGAGCAGGUUAAUUUGGUCCAAUUUCCUCAUCAUGUUCUGUCCCUCAUCUCAUGAAUGCAAACACGUGAAGGCUGGACUCUGCCGAAGAUUAAACUUGUGGUGACAAGUAAUUCUUGUGACAGAGGCUUUAAUGAGAAGAGAAAAAGACCUUAAAAUAUCUUCUUACACUUAAUAAGGAUAAUCUAAAAAGUUGUAUGGAACUCGUUGGAGGACAGCUCUGACUGGUCUGCUGGUCACACUGAGCCAGCCACACUGGGCUGGCCUUGGCCAUGGAGGUGCAGGAAGGUGACUCCAUGGGCAGGCAAUAUCAGAGCCCCUCUCUUUGAAAAGCACAGAAAGCUUCUCAGCAUUGAUCUAGGAGAAAGCCAGCUGGUGGCCCUGCUGUCUGGAGGCAGUGCUGUGUGUGAGGGGCUGAGUCCUGCCAUCUUGCCAUGCAGAAGCCUUGCUCUGUCCUGUCCUCUUCCCCAGCUUUCUGCUAGAGACAAUAUGGACACAGCAUCACCACCUCAGGCCAAAGUCUGUGAGAAAGAUGUGAGAAAUAAGCACACACUGAACCUGCCUCAGA